GAUGAACGCUGGCGGCGUGCCUAAUACAUGCAAGUCGAGCGAACAGAUAAGGAGCCUGCUCCUUUGACGUUAGCGGCGGACGGGUGAGUAACACGUGGGUAACCUACCUAUAAGACUGGGAUAACUUCGGGAAACCGGAGCUAAUACCGGAUAAUAUUUCGAACCGCAUGGUUCGAUAGUGAAAGAUGGUUUUGCUAUCACUUAUAGAUGGACCCGCGCCGUAUUAGCUAGUUGGUAAGGUAACGGCUUACCAAGGCGACGAUACGUAGCCGACCUGAGAGGGUGAUCGGCCACACUGGAACUGAGACACGGUCCAGACUCCUACGGGAGGCAGCAGUAGGGAAUCUUCCGCAAUGGGCGAAAGCCUGACGGAGCAACGCCGCGUGAGUGAUGAAGGUCUUCGGAUCGUAAAACUCUGUUAUUAGGGAAGAACAUACGUGUAAGUAACUGUGCACGUCUUGACGGUACCUAAUCAGAAAGCCACGGCUAACUACGUG
This 497-nucleotide ribosomal RNA is filed under the name uncultured bacterium. RNAcentral describes it as "partial 16S ribosomal RNA". It matches the Rfam family "Bacterial small subunit ribosomal RNA", at positions 28 to 507 of the family's 1533-position model. The record is from RNAcentral.